This 492-nucleotide ribosomal RNA is filed under the name uncultured bacterium. RNAcentral's name for it is "partial 16S ribosomal RNA". It matches the Rfam family "Bacterial small subunit ribosomal RNA", at positions 29 to 507 of the family's 1533-position model. The record is from RNAcentral.
AGUGAACGCUGGCGGUAGGCCUAACACAUGCGAGUCGAGCGGCAGCACAGUAAGAGCUUGCUCUUACGGGUGGCGAGUGGCGGACGGGUGAGGAAUACAUCGGAAUCUACUUUUUCGUGGGGGAUAACGUAGGGGAACUUACGCUAAUACCGCAUACGACCUACGGGUGAAAGCAGGGGAUCUUCGGACCUUGCGCGAUUGAAUGAGCCGAUGUCGGAUUAGCUAGUUGGCGGGGUAAAGGCCCACCAGGGCGACGAUCCGUAGCUGGUCUGAGAGGAUGAUCAGCCACACUGGAACUGAGACACGGUCCAGACUCCUACGGGAGGCAGCAGUGGGGAAUAUUGGACAAUGGGCGCAAGCCUGAUCCAGCCAUACCGCGUGGGUGAAGAAGGCCUUCGGGUUGUAAAGCCCUUUUGUUGGGAAAGAAAAGCAGCAGGUUAAUACCCCGCUGUUCUGACGGUACCCAAAGAAUAAGCACCGGCUAACUUCGUG